GACACAAAACCCGGAAGGACCCCGCCGAAGGUUUUCUCCGGUUCGGGAGAGAGACGGAGUCCCGCUCUGUCACGCAGGCUGCCAGGCUGGCGUACAGUGGCGCAAUCUCAGCUCGCUGCAACCUCCACCUCCUGGGUUCAAGCGAUUUUCUUGCCUCUGCCUCCUGAGUAGCUGGGAUUACUGGCACACACCACCAUGCACAGUUCCUUGUUCAAAAUGCCAAGAACCUGGAUGACUCAUAGUCAAGACCCUCCACCAGUAACAUAUAUUGGCGAGCCAGCCAGGAGCUUGGAACCCUCGGUGGACAGUGCCUAAGCACAGAGGCAACCACAGGUUUCUAACAGGGCCACUCUCUGGUGAAACUGAAAGGUUUCUGUGUGAAAGUGCCUGACCACCACUGCCCAAUUCAGACCACUACAGGAAACACUCCAUUU
Molecule: long non-coding RNA, 434 nt
Filed under: Homo sapiens (human)
Lineage: Eukaryota; Metazoa; Chordata; Mammalia; Primates; Hominidae
Description: non-protein coding lnc-GGCT-1:75
Source: RNAcentral